Molecule: ribosomal RNA, 253 nt
Filed under: uncultured bacterium
Lineage: Bacteria
Description: partial 16S ribosomal RNA
Rfam family: Bacterial small subunit ribosomal RNA
Source: RNAcentral
UACAGAGGUCUCAAGCGUUGUUCGGAUUCAUUGGGCGUAAAGGGUGCGUAGGUGGCGGGGUAAGUCAGGUGUGAAAUUUCGGAGCUCAACUCCGAAACUGCAUUUGAUACUGCCUUGCUUGAGGGCUGGAGAGGAGACUGGAAUUCACGGUGUAGCAGUGAAAUGCGUAGAUAUCGUGAGGAAGACCAGUGGCGAAGGCGGGUCUCUGGACAGUUCCUGACACUGAGGCACGAAGGCCAGGGGAGCAAACGGG